CCUACGGGAGGCUGCAGUGAGGAAUAUUGGUCAAUGGACGAGAGUCUGAACCAGCCAAGUAGCGUGAAGGAUGACUGCCCUAUGGGUUGUAAACUUCUUUUAUAUGGGAAUAAAAUGUUCCACGUGUGGGAUUUUGUAUGUACCCUAUGAAUAAGGAUCGGCUAACUCCGUGCCAGCAGCCGCGGUAAUACGGAGGAUCCGAGCGUUAUCCGGAUUUAUUGGGUUUAAAGGGAGCGUAGGUGGAUUGUUAAGUCAGUUGUGAAAGUUUGCGGCUCAACCGUAAAAUUGCAGUUGAAACUGGCAGUCUUGAGUACAGGAGAGGUGGGCGGAAUUCGUGGUGUAGCGGUGAAAUGCUUAGAUAUCACGAAGAACUCCGAUUGCGAAGGCAGUUCACUGGACUGCAACUGACACUGAGGCUCGAAAGUGUGGGUAUCAAACAGGAUUAGAUACCCGUGUAGUC
This 460-nucleotide ribosomal RNA is filed under the name uncultured bacterium. RNAcentral's name for it is "partial 16S ribosomal RNA". It matches the Rfam family "Bacterial small subunit ribosomal RNA", at positions 338 to 795 of the family's 1533-position model. The record is from RNAcentral.